This 255-nucleotide ribosomal RNA is filed under the name uncultured bacterium. Its description in RNAcentral is "partial 16S ribosomal RNA". It matches the Rfam family "Bacterial small subunit ribosomal RNA", at positions 524 to 777 of the family's 1533-position model. The record is from RNAcentral.
UACGUAGGGAGCAAGCGUUUGUCCGGAAUCAUUGGGCGUAAAGCGCGCGUAGGUGGCCUCGUAAGUCCGCUGUAAAAGUCAAAGGCUCAACCUUUGAAAGCCGGUGGAUACUGCGGGGCUAGAGUACGGAAGAGGCGAGUGGAAUUCCUGGUGUAGCGGUGGAAUGCGCAGAUAUCAGGAGGAACACCAAUAGCGAAGGCAGCUCGCUGGGACGUUACUGACACUGAGGCGCGAAAGCGUGGGGAGCGAACAGGG